UACGAGAGGCCCAAACGUUAUUCGGAUUUACUGGGCUUACAGAGUUCGUCGGCGGUCCAUCAAGUGGGGUGUGAAAUCCCUCGGCUCAACCGAGGAAUUGCGCUCCAAACUGUUGGGCUCGAGGGAGAUAGAGGUGAGCGGAACUGAUGGUGGAGCGGUGAAAUGCGUUGAUAUCAUCAGGAACACCAGAGGCGAAGGCGGCUCACUGGGUCUCUUCUGACGCUGAGGAACGAAAGCUAGGGGAGCAAACAGG
This 253-nucleotide ribosomal RNA is filed under the name uncultured bacterium. Its description in RNAcentral is "partial 16S ribosomal RNA". It matches the Rfam family "Bacterial small subunit ribosomal RNA", at positions 524 to 776 of the family's 1533-position model. The record is from RNAcentral.